This 241-nucleotide long non-coding RNA is filed under the name Setaria viridis. Its description in RNAcentral is "long non-coding RNA (SVIR_LNC009735)". Lineage: Eukaryota; Viridiplantae; Streptophyta; Magnoliopsida; Poales; Poaceae. The record is from RNAcentral.
UUUAGAAUCAACAGCUCAAGUAUGAAACGAAGCACGGUCAAGUGUUUUGGACAUCCCUUUGAACGCUUGUACACAUUCUCCUCCGCUGAUUUCUUCACUGUCUCGAAGUUUGCUAACCCCUUUGCACUUUCAACCAAUAGUUCCGCUUUGGUGUGACGCAACAACUGGCUCAGGAAAUCACUAUCAUCAAAUUCAUCAUCGCCACUACUAUCAUAACCGCCAUUGUCAUCACCACCCUCGU